GACGAACGCUGGCGGCGUGCCUAAUACAUGCAAGUCGAGCGGGCCUCCGGAGGUGCUUGCACCUCCGGAAGGCCAGCGGCGGACGGGUGAGUAACACGUGGGCAACCUGCCUUUGAGGCCGGGAUAACACCGGGAAACCGGUGCUAAUACCGGAUACGUCCUCUUUCGCGCCUGCGAGAGGGGAGAAAGACGGUCUUUAAGGCCGUCGCUCAAAGAGGGGCCCGCGGCGCAUUAGCUGGUUGGUGGGGUAAGGGCCUACCAAGGCGACGAUGCGUUGCCGACCUGAGAGGGGGAUCGGCCACACUGGGACUGAGACACGGCCCAGACUCCUGCGGGAGGCAGCAGUAGGGAAUCAUCCGCAAUGGGCGAAAGCCUGACGGUGCAACGCCGCGUGAGUGAGGACGGUUUUCGGGUCGUAAAGCUCUGUUGUGAGGGAAGAACAGCUUCCGGAGGAAAUGCCGGAGGUUUGCCGGUACCUCACCAGAAAGCCCCGGCUAACUACGUGCCAGCCGCCGCCGUAA
RNAcentral lists this ribosomal RNA (521 nucleotides) under uncultured bacterium. Its description in RNAcentral is "partial 16S ribosomal RNA". It matches the Rfam family "Bacterial small subunit ribosomal RNA", at positions 28 to 523 of the family's 1533-position model. The record is from RNAcentral.